AGAAAACGCAGCCGCCAACUCUGUCCAUCAAUACCAAAUUGAUAAAAUCCAAUUUGCGUUUCAUUUUUCUCCUUACCCUCGUUCUCUCUCGAUCUUGCACCAGCUCACAAAUUUAUCUUGGGUCUACGACUACACCCACACACCCUCUCUCAAUCGCGAUCUUCUUUUUUUAAGUUCCAUUCGAAUUCGAUUAGGGGUGCCAAGAAGACACCAAUUGCUGUUCUA
RNAcentral lists this unclassified non-coding RNA (225 nucleotides) under Hevea brasiliensis (rubber tree). Lineage: Eukaryota; Viridiplantae; Streptophyta; Magnoliopsida; Malpighiales; Euphorbiaceae. The record is from RNAcentral.